RNAcentral lists this transfer RNA (64 nucleotides) under Cavia porcellus (domestic guinea pig). It matches the Rfam family "tRNA". From Rfam's summary of the family: Transfer RNA (tRNA) molecules are approximately 80 nucleotides in length. Their secondary structure includes four short double-helical elements and three loops (D, anti-codon, and T loops). The record is from Rfam by way of RNAcentral. Lineage: Eukaryota; Metazoa; Chordata; Mammalia; Rodentia; Caviidae.
GGGGAUUUAGCUCAGCGGCAUAAGCGCCUGCCUUGCAAGCAGGCAGUCGUGAGAUCAAUCCCUG